Molecule: ribosomal RNA, 1018 nt
Filed under: unidentified
Also listed under: 1 other name
Description: bacterial SSU rRNA
Rfam family: Bacterial small subunit ribosomal RNA
Source: RNAcentral
UGGGGAAUAUUGCGCAAUGGGGGAAACCCUGACGCAGCGACGCCGCGUGCGGGAUGAAGGCCUUCGGGUUGUAAACCGCUUUUGAUUGGGAGCAAGCCUUCGGGUGAGUGUACCUUUCGAAUAAGCGCCGGCUAACUACGUGCCAGCAGCCGCGGUAAUACGUAGGGCGCAAGCGUUAUCCGGAAUUAUUGGGCGUAAAGAGCUUGUAGGCGGUUCGUCGCGUCUGGUGUGAAAGCCCAUCGCUUAACGGUGGGUCUGCGCCGGGUACGGGCGGGCUAGAGUGCAGUAGGGGAGACUGGAAUUCCCGGUGUAACGGUGGAAUGUGUAGAUAUCGGGAAGAACACCAAUGGCGAAGGCAGGUCUCUGGGCUGUUACUGACGCUGAGAAGCGAAAGCGUGGGGAGCGAACAGGAUUAGAUACCCUGGUAGUCCACGCCGUAAACGGUGGACGCUGGAUGUGGGGCCCAUUCCACGGGUUCCGUGUCGGAGCUAACGCGUUAAGCGUCCCGCCUGGGGAGUACGGCCGCAAGGCUAAAACUCAAAGAAAUUGACGGGGGCCCGCACAAGCGGCGGAGCAUGCGGAUUAAUUCGAUGCAACGCGAAGAACCUUACCUGGGCUUGACAUGUGCCUGUCGACUGCAGAGAUGUGGUUUCCCUUCGGGGCAGGUUCACAGGUGGUGCAUGGUCGUCGUCAGCUCGUGUCGUGAGAUGUUGGGUUAAGUCCCGCAACGAGCGCAACCCUCGCCCUGUGUUGCCAGCGGGUUAUGCCGGGAACUCACGGGGGACCGCCGGGGUUAACUCGGAGGAAGGUGGGGAUGACGUCAGAUCAUCAUGCCCCUUACGUCCAGGGCUUCACGCAUGCUACAAUGGCCGGUACAACGGGAUGCGACAUGGUGACAUGGAGCGGAUCCCUUAAAACCGGUCUCAGUUCGGAUCGUAGUCUGCAACUCGACUACGUGAAGGCGGAGUCGCUAGUAAUCGCGAAUCAGCAACGUCGCGGUGAAUGCGUUCCCGGGCCU